This 1252-nucleotide ribosomal RNA is filed under the name uncultured bacterium. RNAcentral's name for it is "bacterial SSU rRNA". It matches the Rfam family "Bacterial small subunit ribosomal RNA", at positions 67 to 1344 of the family's 1533-position model. The record is from RNAcentral.
CGAUUAAACCGCCCUCGGGCGGACAUAGAGUGGCGAACGGGUGAGUAACACGUGACCAACCUGCCCCGCGCUCCGGGACAACCGCUGGAAACGGCGGCUAAUACCGGAUACUCCGGGAGGGCCCCAUGGCCCUGCCGGGAAAGCCGAGACGGCGCGGGAUGGGGUCGCGGCCCAUUAGGUAGACGGCGGGGUAACGGCCCACCGUGCCCGCGAUGGGUAGCCGGACUGAGAGGUCGACCGGCCACAUUGGGACUGAGAUACGGCCCAGACUCCUACGGGAGGCAGCAGUGGGGAAUUUUGCGCAAUGGGGGAAACCCUGACGCAGCAACGCCGCGUGCGGGACGAAAGCCCUCGGGUUGUAAACCGCUUUCAGCAGGGAAGAUCCAAAAAAAAACCUGCUGAAGAAGCUCCGGCGGGCUACAUACCAGCAGCCGCGGUAAUACGUAGGGGGCGAGCGUUAUCCGGAUUCAUUGGGCGUAAAGCGCGCGUAGGCGGCCGCCUAAGCGGGACCUCUAACCCCGGGGCUCAACCCCGGGCCGGGUCCCGGACUGGGCGGCUCGAGUGCGGUAGAGGAGAGCGGAAUUCCCGGAGNAGCGGGGGAAGGCGCUCUUUUGGGGAAGAACACCGAAGGCGAAGGCAGCACACAGGGCCGACACAGACGAAGAGGCGCAAAAGGGGGGGCCUUUUAGGGANNANNNNNNNNANNAAUNCCAACANGGGGGGCCGCUGAUGAAGGUGUGGGGGGACGAUCCCUCCGUGCCGCAGCCAACGCAUUAAGCGCCCCGCCUGGGGAGUACGGCCGCAAGGCUAAAACUCAAAGGAAUUGACGGGGGCCCGCACAAGCAGCGGAGCAUGUGGCUUAAUUCGAAGCAACGCGAAGAACCUUACCAGGGCUUGACAUGCCGAUGAAGCCGGGGAGACCCGGUGGCCGAGAGGAGUCGGCGCAGGUGGUGCAUGGCUGUCGUCAGCUCGUGUCGUGAGAUGUUGGGUUAAGUCCCGCAACGAGCGCAACCCCCGCCCCGUGUUGCCAGCAUUCAGUUGGGGACUCGCGGGGGACUGCCGGCGUCAAGCCGGAGGAAGGUGGGGACGACGUCAAGUCAUCAUGCCCCUUAUGCCCUGGGCUGCACACGUGCUACAAUGGCCGGUACAGAGGGUUGCCACCCCGCGAGGGGGAGCGGAUCCCGGAAAGCCGGUCCCAGUUCGGAUCGCAGGCUGCAACCCGCCUGCGUGAAGCCGGAGUUGCUAGUAAUCG